UACGUAGGUGGCAAGCGUUGUCCGGAUUUACUGGGCGUAAAGGAUGCGUAGGCGGACAUUUAAGUCAGAUGUGAAAUACCCGAGCUUAACUUGGGUGCUGCAUUUGAAACUGGGUGUCUAGAGUGCAGGAGAGGUAAGUGGAAUUCCUAGUGUAGCGGUGAAAUGCGUAGAGAUUAGGAAGAACACCAGUGGCGAAGGCGACUUACUGAACUGUAACUGACGCUGAGGCAUGAAAGCGUGGGGAGCAAACAGG
RNAcentral lists this ribosomal RNA (253 nucleotides) under uncultured bacterium. Its description in RNAcentral is "partial 16S ribosomal RNA". It matches the Rfam family "Bacterial small subunit ribosomal RNA", at positions 524 to 776 of the family's 1533-position model. The record is from RNAcentral.